UAGAGGACCCUGGUUCAAGCCCAGUCAGAGGAGAACUAGAGGACCCUGGUUCAAGCCCAUUCAGAGGAGAGGUAGAGGACUUUGGAGAACUAGAGUACCCUGGUUCAAGCCCAGUCAGGGGAGAGGUAGAGGACCCUGGUUCAAGCCCAGUCAGAGGAGAGGUAGAGGACCCUGGUUCAAGCCCAGUCAGAGGAGAGGUAGAGGACCCUGGUUCAAGCCCAGUCAGAGGAGAGGUAGAGGACCCUGGUUCAAGCCCAGUCAGAGGAGAG
Molecule: long non-coding RNA, 269 nt
Organism: Oncorhynchus keta (chum salmon)
Lineage: Eukaryota; Metazoa; Chordata; Actinopteri; Salmoniformes; Salmonidae
Exons: 3
Source: RefSeq, a predicted model, not a curated record